UCAUUUUACUUCUAAUUUUACCUAUUAACAAACUCUAGUUGUUUGCAUUUUGAAUUUCCACAUGGUUUAAACCUAAGAACAACUCACCACGUUCUUUCCCGCUUGCCAUAUUUAUUGCAAGUGGUAAUAAUAUCGGCUGAAGAUUGAUGAACCCAAGGUGUUCGAUGAUAUGCCUUGAAGAACUAAAUCAUUCGCUGAUGAUUUGUGCAGCUCAGUUAGCUUUAGAUCAAGAUUGGGAUGGUGUAAUUAUCACUGAGGCAAAUUAUCAAGCACUUGAGGCGCUUAAACAUUAGUUGAUCCUAGAGGGUAUUUAAGUAGCUGGAAUGAUAAUGGUUAUGGAUCUUGUUCUGGUACUUGGGUCGGAAUAAAAUGUGCUCAAGGACAAGUUAAGUUAUUCAGCUUCCUUCAAAAGGAUUUGGGGGGAAAAUCACUGAAAGUAUUUGUCAAUUUCAAGCACUCAGAAAACUUAGUCUCCAUGAUAAUGAAAUUGGUGGUUCAGUCCUUUCAUAUUUGGGUUUUUUACCCAAUCUAAGAGGUGUUCCGUUGUACAAUAACAGAUUUUUUGGUUCUAUUCCUGGUUCACUUGGUUUAUGUCCAGUUCUUCAAACACUUGAACUUAGUAAUAAUUCUUUAUCUGGUGCAAUCCUUGAUAGUCUUGUGAAUUAA
Molecule: long non-coding RNA, 666 nt
Organism: Solanum tuberosum (potato)
Lineage: Eukaryota; Viridiplantae; Streptophyta; Magnoliopsida; Solanales; Solanaceae
Exons: 3
Source: RefSeq, a predicted model, not a curated record